RNAcentral lists this small RNA (148 nucleotides) under Citrobacter werkmanii. Its description in RNAcentral is "Glm Y RNA activator of glmS mRNA". It matches the Rfam family "Glm Y RNA activator of glmS mRNA". From Rfam's summary of the family: This family consists of a number of bacterial RNA genes of around 167 bases in length. The function of this RNA is unknown. Lineage: Bacteria; Pseudomonadati; Pseudomonadota; Gammaproteobacteria; Enterobacterales; Enterobacteriaceae. The record is from RNAcentral.
AGUGGCUCAUUCACCUUCUUAUGUCAGCCCCUUCGGGAAGCGCUACAUAAACUUCGAAUGACGCACAACAAGGUGCCUGCCGUCCAACAUCUGAUAUUAGCAUGGCUCAUAUCAACCUCCGGGCGAAACGUCGAGUUAGGCACCGCCU